Molecule: ribosomal RNA, 253 nt
Filed under: uncultured bacterium
Lineage: Bacteria
Description: partial 16S ribosomal RNA
Rfam family: Bacterial small subunit ribosomal RNA
Source: RNAcentral
UACAGAGGUCCCAAGCGUUGCUCGGAAUGACUGGGCGUAAAGGGCGCGUAGGCGGCUUGCACCGUCAGAUGUGAAAUUCCUGGGCUUAACCUGGGGGCUGCAUUUGAUACGUGUGGGCUUGAGUGCGGAAGAGGGUCGUGGAAUUCCCAGUGUAGAGGUGAAAUUCGUAGAUAUUGGGAAGAACACCGGUGGCGAAGGCGGCGACCUGGUCCGUGACUGACGCUGAGGCGCGAAAGCGCGGGGAGCAAACAGG